UACGGGGGGGGCAAGCGUUGUUCGGAAUUACUGGGCGUAAAGGGCUCGUAGGCGGCCAACUAAGUCAUACGUGAAAUCCCUCGGCUUAACUUGGGAACUGCCAUUGAUACUAUCAGUCUUGAAUACCGUGGAGGUCAGCGGAAUAUGUCAUGUAGCGGUGAAAUGCUUAGAUAUGACAUAGAACACCAAUUGCGAAGGCAGCUGGCUACUCGGAUAUUGACACUGAGGCACGAAAGCGUGGGGAUCAAACAGG
RNAcentral lists this ribosomal RNA (253 nucleotides) under uncultured bacterium. Its description in RNAcentral is "partial 16S ribosomal RNA". It matches the Rfam family "Bacterial small subunit ribosomal RNA", at positions 524 to 776 of the family's 1533-position model. The record is from RNAcentral.